UCCGGUUUGUCACCGGCAGUCCCAUUAGAGUGCUCAACUGAAUGUAGCAACUAAUGGCAAGGGUUGCGCUCGUUGCGGGACUUAACCCAACAUCUCACGACACGAGCUGACGACAGCCACGCACCACCUGUGCACUGGCCCCGAAGGGCUGCCGUGUUUCCACGACAUUCCAGUGCAUGUUAAGCCCAGGUAAGGUUCUUCGCGUUGCGUCGAAUUAAACCACAUGCUCCACCGCUUGUGCGGGCCCCCGUCAAUUCCUUUGAGUUUUAGCCUUGCGGCCGUACUCCCCAGGCGGGGCGCUUAAUGCGUUAGCUACGGCGCAGGAAACCGGAGAGGCCCCCCACACCUAGCGCCCAACGUUUACAGCGUGGACUAC
Molecule: unclassified non-coding RNA, 376 nt
Filed under: uncultured Actinomycetes bacterium
Lineage: Bacteria; Bacillati; Actinomycetota; Actinomycetes
Description: uncultured actinobacterium contains 16S-23S intergenic spacer region
Source: RNAcentral